Molecule: ribosomal RNA, 520 nt
Filed under: uncultured Entrophospora
Lineage: Eukaryota; Fungi; Glomeromycota; Glomeromycetes; Entrophosporales; Entrophosporaceae
Description: SSU rRNA
Rfam family: Eukaryotic small subunit ribosomal RNA
Source: RNAcentral
AGCAGCCGCGGUAAUUCCAGCUCCAAUAGCGUAUAUUAAAGUUGUUGCAGUUAAAAAGCUCGUAGUUGAAUUUCGGGAUUGACACAUCGGUCGUGCCUUAAGGGGUGUGAACUGGUGUAGUCAAUUUCUCACCUUCUGGAGAACCGCGAUGUCCUUAAUUGGGUGCUGCGAGGAACCAGGACCUUUACUUUGAAAAAAAUUAGAGUGUUUAAAGCAGGCAUUUUUGCUUGAAUACAUUAGCAUGGAAUAAUAAAAUAGGACGGCAUGAUUCUAUUUUGUUGGUUUCUAGGAUCACCGUAAUGAUUAAUAGGGAUAGUUGGGGGCAUUAAUAUUCAAUUGUCAGAGGUGAAAUUCUUGGAUUUAUUGAAGACUAACUACUGCGAAAGCAUUUGCCAAGGAUGUUUUCAUUAAUCAAGAACGAAAGUUAGGGGAUCGAAGACGAUCAGAUACCGUCGUAGUCUUAACCAUAAACUAUGCCGACUAAGAAUCAGACGAUGUUAAUUUUUAAUGACUCGUUUGG